RNAcentral lists this ribosomal RNA (499 nucleotides) under uncultured bacterium. Its description in RNAcentral is "partial 16S ribosomal RNA". It matches the Rfam family "Bacterial small subunit ribosomal RNA", at positions 30 to 523 of the family's 1533-position model. The record is from RNAcentral.
AUUGAACGCUGGCGGUAUGCUUAACACAUGCAAGUCGAACGAUGAGAAAGAGCUUGCUCUUUCGAUUAGUGGCGGACGGGUGCGUAACGCGUAGGAAUCUACCUAUUAGUGGGGGACAACUUAGGGAAACUUAAGCUAAUACCGCAUACGCCCUACGGGGGAAAGAAGGGGAUCGCAAGACCUUUUGCUAAUAGAUGAGCCUGCGUAGGAUCAGCUAGUUGGUGGGGUAAAAGCUCACCAAGGCGACGAUCCUUAACUGGUUUGAGAGAAUGAUCAGUCACACUGGAACUGAGACACGGUCCAGACUCCUACGGGAGGCAGCAGUGGGGAAUAUUGGACGAUGGGCGAAAGCCUGAUCCAGCAAUACCGCGUGUGUGAAGAAGGCCUUAGGGUUGUAAAGCACUUUCAAUUGGAAGGAAAACCUCGAAGCUAAUACCUUCGAGUUUGACAUUACCUUUAGAAGAAGCACCGGCUAACUCCGUGCCAGCCGCCGCAGUAA